Molecule: ribosomal RNA, 497 nt
Filed under: uncultured bacterium
Lineage: Bacteria
Description: partial 16S ribosomal RNA
Rfam family: Bacterial small subunit ribosomal RNA
Source: RNAcentral
AUUGAACGCUGGCGGCAUGCCUUACACAUGCAAGUCGAACGGUAACGCGGGGCAACCUGGCGACGAGUGGCGAACGGGUGAGUAAUACAUCGGAACGUACCUUAUCGUGGGGGAUAACGCAGCGAAAGCUGUGCUAAUACCGCAUACGCCCUGAGGGGGAAAGCGGGGGAUCGCAAGACCUCGCGCGAUUAGAGCGGCCGAUGCCUGAUUAGCUUGUUGGGGGGGUAAAAGCCCACCAAGGCGACGAUCAGUAGCUGGUCUGAGAGGACGAUCAGCCACACUGGGACUGAGACACGGCCCAGCCACCUACGGGAGGCAGCAGUGGGGAAUUUUGGACAAUGGGGGCAACACUGAUCCAGCAAUGCCGCGUGAGUGAAGAAGGCCUUCGGGUUGUAAAGCUCUUUUGUCAGGGAAGAAACACCGGCUCUAACACAGUCCGGGAAUGACGGUACCUGAAGAAUAAGCACCGGCUAACUACGUGCCAGCAGCCGCGGUAA